RNAcentral lists this ribosomal RNA (495 nucleotides) under uncultured bacterium. RNAcentral's name for it is "partial 16S ribosomal RNA". It matches the Rfam family "Bacterial small subunit ribosomal RNA", at positions 28 to 505 of the family's 1533-position model. The record is from RNAcentral.
GAUGAACGCUGGCGGCGUGCCUAAUACAUGCAAGUCGAGCGAACAGACGAGGAGCUUGCUCCUCUGACGUUAGCGGCGGACGGGUGAGUAACACGUGGAUAACCUACCUAUAAGACUGGGAUAACUUCGGGAAACCGGAGCUAAUACCGGAUAAUAUAUUGAACCGCAUGGUUCAAUAGUGAAAGACGGUUUUGCUGUCACUUAUAGAUGGAUCCGCGCCGCAUUAGCUAGUUGGUAAGGUAGCGGCUUACCAAGGCAACGAUGCGUAGCCGACCUGAGAGGGUGAUCGGCCACACUGGAACUGAGACACGGUCCAGACUCCUACGGGAGGCAGCAGUAGGGAAUCUUCCGCAAGGGGCGAAAGCCUGACGGAGCAACGCCGCGUGAGUGAUGAAGGUCUUCGGAUCGUAAAACUCUGUUAUUAGGGAAGAACAAAUGUGUAAGUAACUAUGCACGUCUUGACGGUACCUAAUCAGAAAGCCACGGCUAACUACG